This 253-nucleotide ribosomal RNA is filed under the name uncultured bacterium. Its description in RNAcentral is "partial 16S ribosomal RNA". It matches the Rfam family "Bacterial small subunit ribosomal RNA", at positions 524 to 776 of the family's 1533-position model. The record is from RNAcentral.
CACGUAGGGCGCGAGCGUUGUCCGGAAUUAUUGGGCGUAAAGAGCUCGUAGGCGGUUUGUCGCGUCUGCUGUGAAAUCCCGAGGCUCAACCUCGGGCCUGCAGUGGGUACGGGCAGGCUAGAGUUCGGUAGGGGAGAUCGGAAUUCCUGGUGUAGCGGUGAAAUGCGCAGAUAUCAGGAGGAACACCGGUGGCGAAGGCGGAUCUCUGGGCCGAUACUGACGCUGAGGAGCGAAAGCGUGGGGAGCGAACAGG